RNAcentral lists this ribosomal RNA (515 nucleotides) under uncultured bacterium. RNAcentral's name for it is "partial 16S ribosomal RNA". The record is from RNAcentral.
ACCAGACGAUGCGGUUACCGCGGCUGCUGGCACGGAGUUAGCCGGUGCUUCUUCUGUGAGUGAUGUCCUUCCUGCCGGUUAUUGACCCGCAGGCCUUCUUCCUCACUGAAAGUGCUUUACAACCCGAAGGCCUUCUUCACACACGCGGCAUGGCUGGAUCAGGGUUGCCCCCAUUGUCCAAUAUUCCCCACUGCUGCCUCCCGUAGGAGUCUGGGCCGUGUCUCAGUCCCAGUGUGGCUGAUCAUCCUCUCAGACCAGCUACGGAUCGUCGCCUUGGUGAGCCGUUACCUCACCAACCAGCUAAUCCGACAUAGGCUCAUCCGAUAGCGCGAGGCCCGAAGGUCCCCGCUUUCCCCGUAGGGCGUAUGCGGUAUUAGCCUGGGUUUCCCCAGGUUAUCCCCACUACCGGGCAGAUUCCUAUGCAUUACUCACCCGUCCGCCGCUCGCCACCAGGGAGCAAGCUCCCCGUGCUGCCGCUCGACUUGCAUGUGUUAGGCCUGCCGCCAGCGUUCAAU